ACGCAGUUUCGCAACACAUGGUUACCUCCGUCGGUUCAUACUCGGUUUCCAGAUUUAUCAAAACUGGUAAUUCCAACGCGAUAUUGGAUAAGGUUUAUAAGAAUACUAAGUGAUUUUAUAUGCGAUACACGGCGCGUAUAUAAUGUCAAAUGUCAUAGACUUUCGCGUCCCGUUUGUUCCGAAAUUUUCGUUAUUCUUAUUGCGACUACUGAGCGAAAAAUUUAAGAUACUUAUCACUUUUCACAACGUUGAUGAUUGUUUUGCAAGAGUGAUGAUACGUCCUAGCUGACAGACUGCAGACAAUACAGGAUCCUGAGGGAACAUCGGUUGCCAACUCGAAUCACUAGAUGGAUACUUUGGAAGGAUGAAAUUAUUUUCAAUAAGUUUCAUCCUCACUAAUAAUUCCUUUCAAUCCUCUCCCUCAUAAUUAAAAGACACGGUCUGACUUGGUUUGUGCACUGUAACAUUUAUACUUCAGUCAAAUCAGUGUUAGUGCUGCAAUGUUUGACUUUAGAAUUGAAAUCUUUUUUUUCAUUCCUCCCCAAAGCCUCGUCUUGUAUUCAUUGUAUUUUUGGAUCAUAAGGUGACCGUCUAUUGUCCAUUUCUAACAUUAUUCUGUAUUCUGUUAAUUAUUAUUACAAUAAUUUCUUCAUUUUUCCAGACUGCGUGGCCUAGACAUUGCACGAAUACGGUUACCAUCCACCUGUGGAGCGGCGUUUUUAUCAAUGCUACAUUCUUCCUUGAAAAUAUAAAAAAAUAAAAGACACGAUUUUUUGUCUUUGAUUAUUCGAAGUUUGAAAA
This 801-nucleotide long non-coding RNA is filed under the name Venturia canescens. RNAcentral describes it as "uncharacterized LOC122409917, transcript variant X1". Lineage: Eukaryota; Metazoa; Arthropoda; Insecta; Hymenoptera; Ichneumonidae. The record is from RNAcentral.